This 463-nucleotide ribosomal RNA is filed under the name uncultured bacterium. Its description in RNAcentral is "bacterial SSU rRNA". It matches the Rfam family "Bacterial small subunit ribosomal RNA", at positions 30 to 506 of the family's 1533-position model. The record is from RNAcentral.
AUUGAACGCUGGCGGCAGGCCUAACACAUGCAAGUCGAGCGGAUGAGUGGAGCUUGCUCCAUGAUUCAGCGGCGGACGGGUGAGUAAUGCCUAGGAAUCUGCCUGGUAGUGGGGGGACAACGUUUCGAAAGGAACGCUAAUACCGCAUACGUCCUACGGGAGAAAGCAGGGGGACCUUUCGGGCCUUGCGCUAUCAGAUGAGCCUAGGUCGGAUUAGCUAGUAGGUGAGGUAAUGGCUCACCUAGGCGACGAUCCGUAACUGGUCUGAGAGGAUGAUCAGUCACACUGGAACUGAGACACGGUCCAGACUCCUACGGGAGGCAGCAGUGGGGGAAUAUUGGACAAUGGGCGAAGACCUGAUCCAGCCAUGCCGCGUGUGUGAAGAAGGUCUUCGGGUUGUAAAGCUCUUUUACUCGGGUACGAUAAUGACGGUACCGAGAGAAUAAGCCCCGGCUAACUCCGU